Molecule: non-coding RNA, 30 nt
Filed under: Mus musculus (house mouse)
Lineage: Eukaryota; Metazoa; Chordata; Mammalia; Rodentia; Muridae
Source: RNAcentral
UCUGAUUUCUUAGAAAGGCCUUGCACUGUC